This 443-nucleotide unclassified non-coding RNA is filed under the name Hevea brasiliensis (rubber tree). Lineage: Eukaryota; Viridiplantae; Streptophyta; Magnoliopsida; Malpighiales; Euphorbiaceae. The record is from RNAcentral.
GGCAAUGUGAUAAAUGCAAUCGAGAAUUUGAUAUAUGUGACUAUGGGAAUCUUCUUAAAUUUCAAAUUCAAGACCAUACCGCAGGGUCUUGGGUAAUAGAUUUCAUGAGUCUGGGGAAGAGAUAUUAGGUUAACCUGCAAAGGAAUUGUACUUGUUGCAAUAUGAAUUGCGGGAUGAUGCCAGAUUCGCAGAUAUAAUUUGGAGCACUCUCUUUCACCAGUAUAUAUUCAGGCUAAAGAUCAAAGAGGAAAUGUACGGUGACUAACAGAGGGUGAAGAUAACUGUUGUUAAAGGCAGACAAGGUGAAUUAUUCUUCAGAUAGUAUGUACCUGCUUGACUUGAUUUCAUAAUUUCCUAGAUAAUAAGUAAUCUGAAACCAAAGCCACUGAUUUUAGAUCCAGUAGCUUUGGUUCUUCAAAAUUCAUUUAGGCAUUAGCAAACCU